AUCCUCCAGACUCCAGAUGAUGAGCUCCACACGACGCACCGCGCGCGCCACACCUGCGGCCCAUCGCUCGCCUGAGGGGAGCGCCGCAAUCCGAACACGAUGCCGUCGUCGCCAUCGACCCCCACCCUCUGCACUCUCCUCCUCCUCCUCCUCCUCCGGCCACCCCCACUACAGCACGCGCCAGUCCGCCACCGGCGGCGGCGGGUGGUUACCGCCGCGCCUCCGCCGCAGCUCCAAGUCGCCCGCGAGGCUCGAGAACCACAGUACGACGCGGCAGCAGCAGGAGCUUACGCCGCCGCCGCCGCGCCGCCUCAGCGCGCUCGUCCACCGCGGGGACCUUGACGCGGCGCUCCGCCUCGUGGAGUCAUCCCUUCGCCCGCCCGACGUGACGCUGGCCAACUGGGCCGACUGGGCCGUAUGUGAGCUACUCGGCCAGGUGGUGAAUAUGGCAAAUCACGGCGGCUCCUAGGGUUUCAUCCCAUCGGCAUCCCCUCAUAUAUAAGAUGGCUGUCAUAGGAAGUUCCACAAGCCGCCGUCCGCCGCUUCUUCCGGUGCUUUUCGAUUCGAUUUGCAGAUCUAUGGUGGUUUCGUUUCGUUUAUGAUUCCGUCUGUUCUCUCUUGUCGCUCGUUUCUUCACCUUUCGGUGCUUAGAGUCGGAGCUGUGCAUUAGGCGAUGAUGAUUUGCUCUUUUAUACCAUCAAACUCUGAAUCAAUCAUACGCCGUGUUGACUGCAUAAGUCUUCGUGAGUCUAAUGCCAUCUUUGCGAAGAAGCGUUUUCAGAUUGACUGUACUGUCUUUUUUUUUUGCUAUGCUGAUUGAAUCUCGUCUUCGUUUUUUGCUAUGCUUUUUUUUGCUAGGCAAUAAAUUAGAGUCUCUAAUGCGCUCAUCUCAAUAGCGUUGUCAGCGCUGUACGUUGCCGAGAGGAAUCGGACAAAGAUUCUGGCACUCGCCAUCUCAUAGGUGGCUUGUUGCAUUCAACUUGUCCAUACAGCUUUUUCUUUCAAAAAAAGAACUAUUUUUUCGCCUGUUGUUUACUCGAGGUUUGCUCUAUUUUCGUUGCUUUGUUUAUCAAAUCGCGUUGUUGAUCAGAAUAUCCAGAUUUUUGUAAUUAUUUUCCCUUUUAAAUUUUUCCAUAAAUGUUUUCCACUGUUUAUAUAAUGAAAAUUUGUUUUUCAAUUUAUUUAAUUGCUAACCACGUUUGGCAUUUAUUUUAUUUUCAUUGGUCAUUACGUGACUGUUUUCAGAAGUAUCAUAUUCUUUAGCACAAGUCUCACUGCUUUCUGAAUUGCGUAUCUUUAUUCGGUUUCUUACCUCCAGGCAUUUUAACCAUAAUUUCUGUUCAAAAGCAGAUAUACCAUGUAACGCCCUCGAUUUAGUGAUCAUCUUGAAACAAUCAAAUUUAUCUGCAAAGACUUUUGGUCUGAGCUAUUCAAGAAGCAGAUUGACAAUCUAAAAACUAAUCAUAGGGUAAAUGGGGCACAUUUGUUCUUCAAGAUGACCGUUUAAGGUGGCUUGUGUUUCUAUAGAUCCAUCAGUAGAGAGCAUGUAUGCAACUGAGAAUGACUCUACAACACUAGGUGAUAGUGCAGCCCAAACAACAAGCAUGCUUCUGUAUCCAUGUGGGAUAAUAAGAGGUGCUUUGAUCAAUUUGGGGAUUUUGUGUUCUGACACUGCAGAUAUGUCCAACCUUCCAGCAUCACUUAACCCAGGCAAGUAAAUAUAAUUCAAGCUCGAGGAGAAGUCGACAAUCUUCCACAGCUCACACUUAUUUAGUGUCUAUGCGCUCAGCUAAAUAGAUCCAAGACAGCAAAGGGGGCAGCGGGAGGCACCGGGCGGCGGCAGCCCGCGGAGGCGGGUGGUGGGGGCGGCGCUGCGCGCGGCGCGGCGCGGAAGCUGCGGCCGCGGGGAGGCAGCGGCGGCUCAUGGCUACUUGCUAGGGAUAUGCACUGGGGCAUGGCAUCACCAAGCAUGAAAGCUUUUGCAGGUGGGCAGGCUGCUGCGUACAAAAUGUUUGAUACAAUAAACAGAAAACCAGAGAUCGAUGGAUAUAGCACAACAGGAAGGGGUAAGGGAAGGGGUAGGGGUAGAGGAAGAGGGAGAGGAAUGGGAGCAUGGUUUCCAUAUGUAAUAGUUGUCAAUUAUCUACUGCUUUUGGCAAUAUGUAUUUUGGAGAUGAUUAUGGGAUAUUUUUACAUGAUUAUUCUUGUAUAUUAUCUCACUUUAUGCAA
Molecule: long non-coding RNA, 2229 nt
Organism: Oryza brachyantha (malo sina)
Lineage: Eukaryota; Viridiplantae; Streptophyta; Magnoliopsida; Poales; Poaceae
Exons: 6
Source: RefSeq, a predicted model, not a curated record